This 109-nucleotide ribosomal RNA is filed under the name Pteropus alecto (black flying fox). The record is from RNAcentral. Lineage: Eukaryota; Metazoa; Chordata; Mammalia; Chiroptera; Pteropodidae.
GUCUACAGCCAUGCUACCCUGAACAAGCCCGAUCCCAUCUAAUCUCAAAAGUUAAGCCUGGUUAGUACCUGGAUGGGAGACUACCUAGAAAGAACAGGUGCUGUAGGCA